AUUUUUUUAUGUAUUGAUGUGACAAUCAGAGAGAGUUGACCAACUUUCAUAUAUAUGAUUUUCUGAAGUAAUGUUUUAAUUAUACGACGUAUUAGUGCCGACAGUGUAACCUUUCG
RNAcentral lists this small RNA (116 nucleotides) under Arabidopsis thaliana (thale cress). RNAcentral describes it as "ATSL253530". Lineage: Eukaryota; Viridiplantae; Streptophyta; Magnoliopsida; Brassicales; Brassicaceae. The record is from RNAcentral.